GCUUUGUGUUUAAUGUUAUGAAUCUGACUUCCUUGUCAACAUCAAGAUUCAUGACAGCAAACAGAGAGCUCAUGAAGCCUGCAUUUCUGUGGGUUGGGAAUAGAUUAGAGUAUUUAGACAGCUUUCAUGUCCAGUCUCUGCCAGUCUUGCUGGACAUAAAAGAAACUUCAGAAAAUUCUCCAGAUCUACUACAGACCCCGAGUGAGAUCCAGGGAGGAGAAGCAGUACUUGCUGAAGGGAGGAAGCUGGUGGAGUAGCGGAGAGAAACUAAAGCCCUUCAGGAGCCGAAUGAGCGUGUAUAUUCAGGAGCCGAUGUCCAGGACCAAGGUGAACUGGGGUUGAAGACGUGCUCUGAACCGCAGGGUCUGUGUCUGUCCCCUUGUUUGCACAAAUGCAAACCGAGGCUUGAAGGGAACAGAAAAGAGGUGAAGUGCCUGCCAAUAAUAAGCCUAUGCUUCAGUGGAGAAGGCAAAUCAGUAAGAAAUUAUGGAAGGGACUGAGGAAUCACUUACAAAUGCGAAUGCUUUUUACAAGAAAGAAAAUGUUCACCGUAAAAGAAUCGGCACUAAUCUACAAUUGUCAUAGAAUGGAAAAUAUAAUUUUGCAGGAUUAUAGAAUUUAAAGAUUUUUGGUUCUGCUCUGAUUUGGAUCACUGCAUAACAACUUCAAGAACUUGAGAGUUG
RNAcentral lists this long non-coding RNA (683 nucleotides) under Sus scrofa (pig). RNAcentral describes it as "lncRNA (ENSSSCG00030070727.1)". The record is from RNAcentral. Lineage: Eukaryota; Metazoa; Chordata; Mammalia; Artiodactyla; Suidae.